This 71-nucleotide transfer RNA is filed under the name Marmota monax (woodchuck). Its description in RNAcentral is "tRNA.Ala". The record is from RNAcentral. Lineage: Eukaryota; Metazoa; Chordata; Mammalia; Rodentia; Sciuridae.
GAGGCUGUGGCUCAGUGGUAGAGCGCUUGCCUAGCAUGUGCAAGGCCCUGGGUUUGAUCCUCAGCACCACA